RNAcentral lists this ribosomal RNA (546 nucleotides) under uncultured Bacteroidota bacterium. RNAcentral describes it as "bacterial SSU rRNA". It matches the Rfam family "Bacterial small subunit ribosomal RNA", at positions 345 to 890 of the family's 1533-position model. Lineage: Bacteria; Pseudomonadati; Bacteroidota. The record is from RNAcentral.
GAGGCAGCAGUGAGGAAUAUUGGUCAAUGGACGAGAGUCUGAACCAGCCAAGUAGCGUGCAGGAUGACGGCCCUAUGGGUUGUAAACUGCUUUUAUACGGGAAUAAAGUGGCUCACGUGUGGGUUUUUGUAUGUACCGUAUGAAUAAGGACCGGCUAAUUCCGUGCCAGCAGCCGCGGUAAUACGGAAGGUCCGGGCGUUAUCCGGAUUUAUUGGGUUUAAAGGGAGCGUAGGCCGCCGAUUAAGCGUGUUGUGAAAUGCCGCAGCUCAACUGUGGCACUGCAGCGCGAACUGGUUGGCUUGAGUGCGCGGAAGGCAGGCGGAAUUUGUGGUGUAGCGGUGAAAUGCUUAGAUAUCACGAAGAACCCCGAUUGCGAAGGCAGCCUGCCGCAGCGUAACUGACGCUGAAGCUCGAAAGUGCGGGUAUCGAACAGGAUUAGAUGCCCUGGUAGUCCGCACGGUAAACGAUGGAUGCCCGCUGUUCCAGUUUUAUAUUGGAGUGGCCAAGCGAAAGCGUUAAGCAUCCCACCUGGGGAGUACGCCGGCA